This 68-nucleotide transfer RNA is filed under the name Xenopus muelleri (Muller's clawed frog). Its description in RNAcentral is "tRNA-Cys". Lineage: Eukaryota; Metazoa; Chordata; Amphibia; Anura; Pipidae. The record is from RNAcentral.
AAGCCCUGCGGUGUUCGACACACCAGAUUGCAAAUCUUGAAUCGCAAACGAGAGUUUGCCGGGGCUUC